GAAUUCGAUUAACGCGAAGAACCUUACCCAGGCUUGAACAGCGAGUGACCAUUCCCGAAAGGGAACUUCCGCAAGGACACUCGUAGAGGUGCUGCAUGGCUGUCGUCAGCUCGUGUCGUGAGACGUUGGGUUAAGUCCCGCAACGAGCGCAACCCUUGUCUGCUGUUGCCAUCAGGUAAUGCUGGGCACUCUGCAGAGACCGCCGGUGAUAAACCGGAGGAAGGUGGGGAUGACGUCAAGUCAGCAUGGCCUUUAUGUCUGGGGCUACACACGUGCUACAAUGGCCGGUACAAACCGUCGCAAAACCGUAAGGUCGAGCUAAUCGGAGAAAGCCGGUCUCAGUUCGGAUAGCAGGCUGCAACUCGCCUGCUUGAAGUUGGAAUCGCUAGUAAUCGCGGAUCAGCACGCCGCGGUGAAUACGUUCCCGGGCCUUGUCACACCGAAUCACUA
RNAcentral lists this ribosomal RNA (450 nucleotides) under uncultured soil bacterium. RNAcentral's name for it is "bacterial SSU rRNA". It matches the Rfam family "Bacterial small subunit ribosomal RNA", at positions 947 to 1384 of the family's 1533-position model. The record is from RNAcentral.